This 994-nucleotide ribosomal RNA is filed under the name uncultured marine bacterium. RNAcentral describes it as "bacterial SSU rRNA". It matches the Rfam family "Bacterial small subunit ribosomal RNA", at positions 67 to 1043 of the family's 1533-position model. The record is from RNAcentral.
CUGUGAUUGAUCCUUCGGGUGAAGUCACAGGAGGACAGCGGCAAACGGGGUAGUUAGGCGCAGGUUACGUACCCUCUGGUUGGGGAUAGCCACGGGAAACUGUGGGUAAUACCCAAUGAUCCGUCGUGUUGUAAUGACGUGGCGGCAAAGGUGAGAUUCCGCCGGAGGAGCGGUCUGCGUGGUAUUAGCUUGUUGGUGAGGUAAUGGCUCACCAAGGCGAAGAUGCCUAGGGGGUGUGAGAGCAUGGCCCCCACCACUGGGACUGAGACACUGCCCAGACACCUACGGGUGGCUGCAGUCGAGAAUCUUUGGCAAUGCACGCAAGUGUGACCAAGCGACGCCGAGUGCUGGAUGAAGGCCUUCGGGUUGUAAACAGCUGUCAGAGGGGAUGAAAUUGUUGGGGGCUAUCCCCCUUCAUUGACAGAGCCUCAGAGGAAGCGCGGGCUAAGUUCGUGCCAGCAGCCGCGGUAAUACGAACUGCGCGAACGUUAUUCGGAAUCACUGGGCUUAAAGGGUGCGUAGGCGGCCUGUUAAGUAGGGUGUGAAAUUUGUCGGCUCAACCGGCAAACUGCAUUCUAAACUGGCAGGCUUGAGUGAGUCAGGGGUGUGCGGAACUUCCGGUGGAGCGGUGAAAUGCGUUGAUAUCGGAAGGAACGCCGGUGGCGAAAGCGGCACACUGGGGCUUUUCUGACGCUGAGGCACGAAAGCUAGGGGAGCGAACAGGAUUAGAUACCCUGGUAGUCCUAGCUGUAAACGAUGAAUACUGGGUUGGGGGAGCAUGUCUCUCCCAGCCGUAGCGAAAGCGUUAAGUAUUCCGCCUGGGGAGUAUGGUCGCAAGGCUGAAACUCAAAGGAAUUGACGGGGGCUCACACAAGCGGUGGAGGAUGUGGCUUAAUUCGAGGCAACGCGAAGAACCUUAUCCCGGACUUGACAUCUAUGGAUUAGCUCUGUGAAAGCAGAGUGACGCCUUCGGGUGGAACAUAGACAGGUGCUG